CUCCCGCGUCGCAACCCCUUUCCUGGGGAGGUGGCGUAGGACUUCCUGAUCGCCGCGGGCCAUGCCACCGCAAGUCCCAACAGUCCAGCUCCCAGUCCCUAGCAUUUCAGCAAUCUGGACACUAGAGGAUUCCAAACAUUUCAGCUGUUUUCUGGACAACCCCUGGAGCUGCCACUGGUAACGCACACCCACGAGCUGGAACCCAGCAUCCCUCAAACAAGUGCUUUCCUCCAGGACUCUCAGUUCCUAACGGGAUACCACCAUCCACUCUGGUGUGCCCACACCAGAAACUUAAAAAAAACCGUGAUUGGUGCCUCUCCUGAGCGUGGGACAGGAAGAGUUAACCUGCUGACAGACGGCAUUUUUUACCUUCAGUCAAUAUGAACAAGGCCCCAAGACUAUGAUUCCAAACAUCUGGAUUUCAUCAAUAUGUGAUCUGUCAUCGUAUAUUGGCAUUCCCCAGUCCCCGCGCCAGAGCAAUGCGGCUGGUUUUAUUAAUACGUCAAAUACAUUAUCCGUGUAAUACACUUGUCUGGCUGGGGCCUCCCGCUGGGGCGGGGCGGCGGAUUUGAAUGUAUGAUGAAUCAGUUUGCAUUACAUGUUCGUAAGUCAUCAUUUGUCAGGAUUAAUAGGCAUCCCUGGUCGAGGGGGUGGGGGUGGGGCGGGCAGAGGAGAGACGUGUAUUUAGCUAUGGCCCAUCCUUAUCUGCCAGUGCCCAGGGAUGCCCUGAAAACCGCUCUGCACCCUUCUGCCCAGACCCCAGGGCAGGUGGCUGGUGGUCUGGUGAUAUUUUUUAGCAGUUCCAGAAUCACAUGGAAGCAAAGAGCCCUAUUUGUCUCUGCUUUGGGCUUGCCAUGCAACCAAAAAGGGUAUGGCAGGGACUGUUUGCACGGACUGGCUAACUCUUGCUCAUCCUUUAAGACUCUGAAUUCUUUCUUUCCUGACUCCUCCAGACUGCACCAGGUGCCUCCUCUGUGUUCCCAUAGUUUCCUGUGCUACCUCUGGUCACACCGUGUUACAGUUGCUUAUCAUGUGUCUGUCACUCUCUUUAGACUGUAAAUUUCUUGUGGGCAGGGAAUAACUUGUUUAUUGCUAUAGUCCCAGAAGAUCCCCUGGAAAAGGGAAUGGCAACCCACUUCAGUAUUCUUGCCUGGAGAAUCCCAUGGACAGUGGAACCUGGAGGACUACAGUCCAUGGGGUUGCAAAGAGUCAGACACAACUGAGUGACACUUUGAACUUUCAGUAUCUUGCAGGGGGCAUGACCCAAAGUAAGAGGAUAUUAGUAGUGUAAGUAGAAACAAAUACAUAUUCCUUGAAUGAAUGAAUAAAUGAUUGUUGACCUUGCUAAA
This is a long non-coding RNA of Cervus elaphus (red deer), 1349 nucleotides long. RefSeq lists it as uncharacterized. The record is from RefSeq and is a predicted model, not a curated record. NCBI's taxonomy places the organism in Eukaryota, Metazoa, Chordata, Mammalia, Artiodactyla, Cervidae. The transcript has 2 exons.